This 374-nucleotide ribosomal RNA is filed under the name uncultured bacterium. Its description in RNAcentral is "bacterial SSU rRNA". It matches the Rfam family "Bacterial small subunit ribosomal RNA", at positions 98 to 490 of the family's 1533-position model. The record is from RNAcentral.
GCGAACGGGUGAGUAACGCGUGAGCAAUCUACCUUAGUUACUGGGAUAGCCCGAGGAAACUCGGAUUAAUACCAGAUAUUCUUAUUUUUUCACAUGAAGUUUUAAGGAAAGGUCAGCCGAACUAAGAUGAGCUCGCGUUCUAUCAGCUAGUUGGUGGGGUAAAAGCCUACCAAGGCUACGACGGAUAGCUGGUCUGAGAGGACGAUCAGCCACACUGGGACUGAGACACGGCCCAGACUCCUACGGGAGGCUGCAGCAGGGAAUAUUGUGCAAUGAGCGAAAGCUUGACACAGCGACACCGCGUGUGGGAUGACGGUUCUAGGAUUGUAAACCACUUUCAGGAGGGAAGAAAAUGACGGUACCUCCAUAAGAAG